This is a long non-coding RNA of Clupea harengus (Atlantic herring), 4089 nucleotides long. NCBI's taxonomy places the organism in Eukaryota, Metazoa, Chordata, Actinopteri, Clupeiformes, Clupeidae. The record is from Ensembl.
AUUUCUUACAGUUUUCAGUGAGACUGAACUCGAGAUAAUCCCAAGUGCAUGAGUCACCACUCGCAAGAACACACACACACACACCCACACUACACAACAACUGCUACUUCUCCUCCUUCAACUACUACUAUUUUAAUAGAAACAUUUCAAGUCACAAGCAUUUCUGAAAUAUUCAUUUAUUAAAAUGAUGCGUACAUUCAAGUUCAGCAUUAAACAAUUGUGCUGUUGACAGAACACUCACUGGAACAACUUCCUCAACACAAAAAACAAUUUACUCAAGGGAAGUUUAAAGUUUUUCGACAUUCGAUUGUGUUGAAAAAAGCCUCAGCAAUUCAAAGUGUUUACAUGCAUGUUGAGCGUUCGGCUUUCUUUGGGUACCUUAGAGAUGACAGCCUAGCAUGAGCGUGUUGUUAUGAGCGUGUUACUGUGAGUUUUAAACCGUUCAACUGACAGUAAGGGUCAGACUAUGGCCACCCUUUGUAACUAAAAUCCUUCUCUAGGGGAGUGACAAGGUGAGUUGGGAGAGGAUGUGAGUCACCUCAGGGCAUGAGAGUGAGCGGGAAAGCCCCAACGAUACUAGAGAAGCUCCAGAAAGGACACAGGAGACACUCAAAGACACUGGAUUUUUCCAAACAACUUAGGUAGAGGGGACUAAUACAGGGUUUUUGAGAGAGUUGGGACAUACAGUCUGAAAACAAAUGGGGGUGGGUGCCACUUUUUAACUAGUCCCUGUAUCUGUACUCAAAGGCACACAAAGGCCGACUCUCUCUCUCUCUCUUUCUCUCUCACACGCACGCACACACACACACACACACACGGCGCACACAGCGCACACACACACACAUGCACAGAUCCACCCCCAUUGCCCCAAGCCCUUUCUGUGUUUAUGGUUUCAUGACAGCACUUUUUAGCAAAGGCAACCACUUCAGUGACUAACAAAAGAGGCGUGGCAACUAAGAUAAUUCAAUACAAGGAAAAUUCAAAAAAUAACUACCACCAGGUUAGCCAAUGAAAAUGUAAAGGAGGGGCACAUUUCGGAUUGGCCCAGUGGCUUGAGUUGCAUGGAAAAGAAUGGAUGCCAAUAAAUAGUUAAGCAAGCAUGACUCCCAAACCAAAAUAAAACAAAGCAAACAACAAAAAGACUAAUUAAAAUAAAAUAAACAGCAAUUAGUGAGGCAGAGUCAUUCAGCUAGUGAGAGAACAACAACAACAGGAGACCCAUACUGUAAACAACCUGAGAAUAAUCCGAACUAAAAGAAUGCACAAGAUUUCAAAUUUAAAAAGAGAUCCCAAAACAAUUUACAAAAAAACAAACAAAAAAAAAAAAAACGAUAUUUUUGUCAUAUUUACACAUGGUAUAUUACGUACUUUAUUUGCAAUUAAUGGUACUUUUAUGAAGACAUGGCUGACACUAAUUCAAGAAAAUGUUGUCUAUGUGAGAAAAUACUGACUCCAUGUCUUAGUACACAAAUACACAUAAUAUUUCCCUGAUGCAGACACUGUGUUCUGUACAUGGGUUUGGAAAAUCUUUAGCUAAACAACGUCUGUAUCAAAACGACUUAUUUUAACGACUUAUUUUAACUCUUCUUCGCUUCUUUGCACUCGAUUUUUUUUUUUUUUUGUCAAUUACAGGUUGUAGAACGAAUUUUUUUUAAGUUCCAUUUAUCAAUUGGCAAAAUCACAAAGCCUCAGGUCAUACACAAAUACUUCUUUUUGGAUUGCUCGAUGUGCAUGUAACAGACAGCACUGCAAACAGGCAUUGGUAUUAGUCAUCUGUUCCUACACUACUGAAACUACUACUACUGGUUUUCAAACCAGACGUUUCUGAUGUGCUUUCCCUGCCACAACAAACACAUUGACCUCCAAAGAACACAGAUGCUAUGAUGAUUUAUAUCCCCCUUGCACAGCCCUCCUCCUCCCACGUAUAUGCUCAUUCUAAGGGUAGGUGUUUAUGUUAGGGCACGUACCCUGGAAUGCCCUAUGUGUGAGCAGUCUGACUUGGAUUCAUCGCUACCUAAUAAAUCUUGGGGCCUCUAUAGUCUGGAGUGACUGAAGAAGGGCCAUUAAAAUUUGUUUCAAAAAUCAUCACGUCAGUAUAUUUAUGGACCCUCCCCCCGCCCCCUUAAGAAAAUGAAAAGAUAGUUUAAAGCAUGUAUUUGGUUAUAGUCUUUGUGCAGUGGUCUCUAAUUUGUUGUGUUUAAGCUGGCAAACUUCAAACACACUUCACUCGAUUGAAAAGUGUGAAAUGUAUGGUCUCCUGCCAUACAACGUCAGAAGUGAUUCAAACAGACGGUACGAGCGUAACAAAUCUGCAAAAGCAACGCCUAGGAAAAAGAAUUAACGUUUCCCUCCAAAAGGAAUGCCAUUCUACCACAAAAAAUCUCUCACCUUCAUCUUCUUUCAAAAGCCUGAGGCUUCCCCCUCCCCCUAUCUGUUGUACCUACACACACACACACACACACACACACACACACACACACACACACACACACACACACACACACACACACACACACACACACACACACAAACACACACACACACACACACACACACACACACACACACACACACAAACACACACACACACAGCCUGCUGAGACAUGUUGGUCUUAAGAUUCUACACCCUGCCAGGACAUCCGCAGAAAAAAAAACUAAAUUUUAAAAACAAAGCACUGUCCUUGGGGAUCAAACAGACACGAGGCGAUACUGCAAGUGAUAUUGAUGCUUUUCUGUUUAAUUUAACUCAAUGUUCUUCAGCACCACAAACAAUGACUGCGCUUUACAGAGACACGUGCUCAGGCCCCACCAAGAGCAAGCUAAGCUCAUACCUGGGGGGUGAGGUGCAUCUGCCUCAGGACAGCUUAAUGCUAGCAUUUAGCACAUGAACUUUUCAAAGCCAGCUUUCUCACACUUUUUUUAUCAUUUCAUUCUCUGGGCUAUCUGGUCCCUUCUUUAUUAGCCUCAGUUGUCCCUGAAGGCCGUGGUUGUGUCAGGAAUGUGCUCAUCUCAGAGAGCGUCAACCUUUUUAGGCUAGAGCCUACAGGUUCAUUCCAGACCAAGUUUCGUUUACUUCAGGAGUUGUCCUCCCUUCCAAAAAAAGAAAAGAAAAGAAAAGAAUAGAAAAAACAAACAUGAACGACAAUCCACUUUUUUUUUAAGGGGGUUGGGGGUAACAGGAGGGUUUAAGGUUUCAGAAGGUGGACAAAAGGGAGUGGUCCACUGUAGUUUAGGAGAACGGGGGACACAAUGGAGAGAGGAGUCAGUUGGGUUGGGGCAGGAGGGGUAAUGAGCUGGAGCAGAAACCCACAGAUAAGGAGAAGUGCCCGACCCCUCCCCAUUCACCACCCCAUCUCAUUCAGUCUUCAAAUUCCAGAAUCUCUUACCCCUCAGGUGGGGGUGGAGAGGUGGUCGGUUCGUUUUCAUCCAAGGAGAGGGCGUGAGUGUGGGGUCAGGCACAGAGUGGGGGUGGGGACUCCAGCAAGACGGGCCAGGGGUUGGAACCAGGUGUGUGAGAGAGGGACAGCAGGUUUUUCUUUUGGGGAAGAGAAAGAACACGCCAUGCCCUGGGGCUGGGAUGGCUGGGAUGGAAGUCAGGGCACCUGUGAUAUACGACCCCAACGAGCAAGUUCUUGAAGUUGCCCCGUGGGAUUCCCAGCAAGAGAAGAAAUGAAGACAGCUGAUUUUUGGGGUGUUUUACUGACCCUGAGAAAAAAGGAGAGGAGUCGUUUUAGUCACACAUUAAAAAACUAACAUACCUCCUGUUGACACAUAGCACCACAUGAUGUGAAUGAUAAGAAUCUCUGUUUGCUAUAAAUGUUGACACUUUCCAGACAGUUGAUUAACAUUAUAGUGAUGUUGCAAAAUGUCUCCACCCCACUGAGGAACAUCUCCAGUAAUAGAUGACAUGUGGGCAAGAGACAGCGACAUUUCUAGGGCCGCUCAGCUCGCUACUCUGUGACUAAUAUGAGCACGGUGGCGGAUGACGGUCCUUCGAGAAUCUGAAAUGAAACCAAAAUCGAAAUAAACUGCACUCUGUGAACCUCACACACACACACACACACACACACACACACACACACACACACA